This 928-nucleotide long non-coding RNA is filed under the name Homo sapiens (human). RNAcentral describes it as "HSALNT0122511". The record is from RNAcentral. Lineage: Eukaryota; Metazoa; Chordata; Mammalia; Primates; Hominidae.
UCAGUGGCUGUCAUCUCUGCCUUCAACCCUCACUGCUCACCUGGUUCUUCUAUAUCUCGAAACCACAAAAAAAGGUUUUCGCCUACUGCUGCCCUUUAUCCCUCUGGCUCAACUCUGACGCUGGUGCUCCCACGAGUGGCCCCCUGUGGCAUGGCACGCUGUGUUCUCCCCAGGGAACUCUUUAGGAGACAGGAUGUCUGAGGUCAGAAGUUCCCCCUGGUGACCAAACCAGUUAAGACUGAUGAGAUUCAAGAUCCAGCUCACUUCGCCUUUGAAGAACCUCCAACUUCAUUAUAAUUUAUUUUCCAUACUAAAUGACACUCCCACCAGUGCCAUGACAGUUUAUAAUCACCAUGACAAUGACCAGAAGAAAUUAUGAAAGGACAAAAAGGAAGACCACAACUCCGGUUCUGAGGAAUUCUCCACCCAUUCCCAGAAAAGACAAGAAUACUCCUCCCCUUGUUUUUAAUGCCCAAACCCUUCAUUAAAGAUGUCCCAUAUCUGUGACUUCCUGUCUCUCAUUAAUUGAGAAGUUAAUCUGUGAGUCAAGCUCCCACUUCUUAAGUCCAUGGCCAUUGAAUAAAGCCUGCACUGCUUGAUGCUCACUUUUGGUUUCAUGCAUUGUCUUCUCAUCACUGCAUAGAAAAAGAACCCAUUUUAAAAUCAGUAACACUUUGAUUUCUAACGGAUUAAAUUUGCCAUUUUAUUGUUUUCUGUUUGUUUGAUUUGCAUUUUGUUCUUCUGUUUCAAGUGGGUUACUUGAACAGUUUUAAGAAUUCUGUCUUUAUUUACAGUGUUUCAGAGUUCAACUCUUUGUACAGUUUAAUGUUGUUGUAGGUUUCACAGUAUACCUAACAUGUGACUUGUCAUAGUCUAUUGGUAUCAAUGGUGAGUCCUGUGAAAGUUUAUUUCCACUUAGGUCUCUUUA